Small nucleolar RNA from Elaeis guineensis (African oil palm), 107 nucleotides. Lineage: Eukaryota; Viridiplantae; Streptophyta; Magnoliopsida; Arecales; Arecaceae. The record is from RefSeq and is a predicted model, not a curated record.
CAGCAUGGUGGAGAUAUUUUCUAACAAGAUCCUUUAACCUCUCCCAUGUUUCAUAGAAUAUUUCUCCAUCUAAUUGAAAAAAAAUUAGGGAAGGCUUUUCUUAUUUG